RNAcentral lists this ribosomal RNA (484 nucleotides) under uncultured bacterium. Its description in RNAcentral is "partial 16S ribosomal RNA". It matches the Rfam family "Bacterial small subunit ribosomal RNA", at positions 28 to 507 of the family's 1533-position model. The record is from RNAcentral.
AUUGAACGCUGGCGGCAUGCUUUACACAUGCAAGUCGAACGGCAGCGCGGGCUUUGGCCUGGCGGCGAGUGGCGCACGGGGGAGUGAUGCAUAGGAACGUGCGCAGUAGUGGGGGAUAGAGCGGCGAGAGCCGGAUUAAUAUCGCAUACGCGAUGAGGGUGAAAGCGGGGGACAGAAAGGCCUCGCGCGAUUGGAGCGGGCGAUGUGGGUUUAGCUAGUUGGUGGGGUAAAGGCCUACCAAGGCGACGAUCCGUAGCUGGUCUGAGAGGGCGACCAGCCACACUGGGACUGAGACACGGCCCAGGCUCCUACGGGAGGGAGCAGUGGGGAAUUUUUGACAAUGGGGGCAAACCUGAUCCAGCCAUGCCGCGUGCGGGAAGAAGGCCUUCGGGUUUUAAACCGCUUUUUGUCGGGAAGAAAUCCUCUGGGCUAAUACCCCGGGGGGGUGACGGUACCGGAAGAAUAAGCACCGGCUAACUACGUG